Molecule: ribosomal RNA, 255 nt
Filed under: uncultured bacterium
Lineage: Bacteria
Description: partial 16S ribosomal RNA
Rfam family: Bacterial small subunit ribosomal RNA
Source: RNAcentral
CCGAUAUCUGAUUAGCUAGUUGGUAGGGUAAAAGCCUACCAAGGCGACGAUCAGUAGCUGGUCUGAGAGGACGACCAGCCACACUGGAACUGAGACACGGUCCAGACUCCUACGGGAGGCAGCAGUGGGGAAUUUUGGACAAUGGGGGCAACCCUGAUCCAGCAAUGCCGCGUGAGUGAAGAAGGCCCUCGGGUUGUAAAGCUCUUUGUCAGGGAAGAAACGGUGAUCUCUAAUAUAGAUUGCUAAUGACGGUAC